This 27-nucleotide small RNA is filed under the name Bombyx mori (domestic silkworm). RNAcentral's name for it is "piRNA piR-bmo-1916601". The record is from RNAcentral. Lineage: Eukaryota; Metazoa; Arthropoda; Insecta; Lepidoptera; Bombycidae.
UAUGCUCACUGUGGAGCCCCGAGAGUC